AUAAAACUCAUUAUGUGUAAAUAACACACACGGAUCGGCACAUACACCGGGGUGCUCUCAUGCGGUUAACCCAUUUAUAUGAGUAAAUUAUAUGAAUGGUCAGCAGUCAAAGAGUCGGUGUCAUGGGAUCUGUGGAGGCAUAACC
Molecule: small RNA, 145 nt
Filed under: Xenorhabdus japonica
Lineage: Bacteria; Pseudomonadati; Pseudomonadota; Gammaproteobacteria; Enterobacterales; Morganellaceae
Description: t44 RNA
Rfam family: t44 RNA
About the family: This family consists of a number of bacterial RNA genes of between 135 and 170 bases in length. The t44 gene is found between the map and rpsB genes in all species in the full alignment apart from Shigella flexneri.
Source: RNAcentral